GAUGCUUAAAGGAUGUAGGCUGAAAUAGAAGAAUUUACACAAAUGUGAUUUAUGCUUCUUGCAAGCUGCCUUUAUAAGAAUUCUGAGCUUUCAUAUUUGCAGAUCUCAGGUUAGUGGGUUUUACAGGCUAUUCAGCUAAUUCAGCCCCAUCUUUCAAACAUCUGUUGCCUCUGAAAAGUUCUCAGUGUAAAGAGGAAACUGUUAUUUAUAAGAAGAAGCUGUCAAAGAUCAGCUAUGUUCAACAAUCUAAAGCAUCGCUUACGUACAUCAGCACUAAACUAUGCUCAUUUGGAUAGCAUGAAUGGCUAAUUUUAGCUUAAAAUUGGAAACAAUUAUGGGUUCAGGAAGAAAAGUAGGGCUGUGUGUCAUUAGUAAUUGAUUUCUUUUGUGGAAAAGCUUGAAAUGAGCAGUUAAGAAAAAAAUACCAACACAACAUUAAGUGAUGCAACCUGUCUUGUGCAAUAUGCAGAUGUUUCUCAGAUUUGUGUCUGUCUCAGGUGGAUGGAUACUUCUGGUGUCAUUCCCUCUCUUCCCUCUGCCUCUCUAUAAUACUUUCUGCAUCUUUCAGCUGCUGCUGUAGAAGUCUCAACUGGGAACAUUGUGCAACUCAUGUGCACAAGAGGAGAGUGGUAUGCCAUGGCAUAGGAAGCUGCGAAUCACUUGUGUCUCAUUGCAUUACCUGGCUGGGAGGCUGCAAGGCCUCAAGAAGGACACAGUACAGCUUGUUUGACAGACAGGACUGAGGAGCCCACACUACAGUUCCCACAGGGCAUGGCAGUGGUUUGAGAUGGACUAUUCAUGUUUCUGAAGGACGAAAUAUUUCACUUGGAAAUGUAAGGAUAUCUUGAGAGUUACUCUUUUCAGUCAAAACCUGCCUCUCUUUACUGGCUUCUGGGUGAUUGUUCUGGA
Molecule: long non-coding RNA, 909 nt
Filed under: Calidris pugnax (ruff)
Lineage: Eukaryota; Metazoa; Chordata; Aves; Charadriiformes; Scolopacidae
Description: lncRNA (ENSCPUG00000005177.1)
Source: RNAcentral